RNAcentral lists this ribosomal RNA (375 nucleotides) under uncultured Oscillatoriales cyanobacterium. RNAcentral's name for it is "bacterial LSU rRNA". It matches the Rfam family "Bacterial large subunit ribosomal RNA", at positions 2098 to 2472 of the family's 2925-position model. Lineage: Bacteria; Bacillati; Cyanobacteriota; Cyanophyceae; Oscillatoriales. The record is from RNAcentral.
GCUUUACUGUAGCCUGGAAUUGGGUUCGGGCUUUAACUGCGCAGGAUAGGUGGGAGACUAUGAAGCUGCCCUUGUGGGGGUAGCUGAGUCAACGGUGAGAUACCACUCUGUUAAGGCUAGAAUUCUAACCGAUAGCCGUUAUCCGGCAUCGGAACAGUUUCAGGUGGGCAGUUUGACUGGGGCGGUCGCCUCCUAAACGAUAACGGAGGCGCACAAAGGUUCCCUCAGGCUGGUUGGAAAUCAGCCAAAGAGUGUAAAGGCAUAAGGGAGCUUGACUGUGAGACUGACAAGUCGAGCAGGGUGGAAACACGGUCUUAGUGAUCCGACGGCACUGAGUGGAAGGGCCGUCGCUCAACGGAUAAAAGUUACUCUAGG